This 507-nucleotide ribosomal RNA is filed under the name uncultured bacterium. RNAcentral describes it as "bacterial SSU rRNA". It matches the Rfam family "Bacterial small subunit ribosomal RNA", at positions 480 to 985 of the family's 1533-position model. The record is from RNAcentral.
CCUGGAGGAAGCCCCGGCUAACUACGUGCCAGCAGCCGCGGUAAGACGUAGGGGGCGAGCGUUGUCCGGAAUUACUGGGCGUAAAGGGCGUGUAGGCGGCUUUACAAGUCAGCUGUGAAAUCCCCCGGCUCAACUGGGGGCUUGUAGUUGAAACUGUAGAGCUUGAGUGCAGGAGAGGAGGGUGGAAUUCCCAGUGUAGCGGUGAAAUGCGUAGAUAUUGGGAGGAACACCGGUGGCGAAGGCGGCCUUCUGGCCUGUAACUGACGCUGAGGCGCGAAAGCCAGGGGAGCAAACAGGAUUAGAUACCCUGGUAGUCCUGGCUGUAAACGCUGGGUACUAGGUGUAGGGGGUUUAGACGCUCUCUGUGCCGUAGUUAACGCAUUAAGUACCCCGCCUGGGGAGUACGAUCGCAAGGUUGAAACUCAAAGGAAUUGACGGGGGCCCGCACAAGCGGUGGAGCAUGUGGUUUAAUUCGACGCAACGCGAAGAACCUUACCAGCUCUUGAC